RNAcentral lists this ribosomal RNA (482 nucleotides) under uncultured bacterium. Its description in RNAcentral is "partial 16S ribosomal RNA". It matches the Rfam family "Bacterial small subunit ribosomal RNA", at positions 30 to 507 of the family's 1533-position model. The record is from RNAcentral.
AUUGAACGCUGGCGGCAUGCCUUACACAUGCAAGUCGAACGGUAACAGGUCUUCGGAUGCUCACGAGUGGCGAACGGGUGAGUAAUACAUCGGAACGUGCCCGAUCGUGGGGGAUAACGGAGCGAAAGCUUUGCUAAUACCGCAUACGAUCUACGGAUGAAAGCAGGGGACCGCAAGGCCUUGCGCGGACGGAGCGGCCGAUGGCAGAUUAGGUAGUUGGUGGGAUAAAAGCUUACCAAGCCGACGAUCUGUAGCUGGUCUGAGAGGACGACCAGCCACACUGGGACUGAGACACGGCCCAGACUCCUACGGGAGGCAGCAGUGGGGAAUUUUGGACAAUGGGCGAAAGCCUGAUCCAGCCAUGCCGCGUGCAGGAUGAAGGCCUUCGGGUUGUAAACUGCUUUUGUACGGAACGAAAAGACUCUUUCUAAUAAAGAGGGUCCAUGACGGUACCGUAAGAAUAAGCACCGGCUAACUACGUG